This is a long non-coding RNA of Alosa sapidissima (American shad), 1000 nucleotides long. RefSeq lists it as uncharacterized. The record is from RefSeq and is a predicted model, not a curated record. The transcript has 4 exons. Lineage: Eukaryota; Metazoa; Chordata; Actinopteri; Clupeiformes; Clupeidae.
CCAGAUUGCUGUAUCCAGAUGCGUGAGAAGAACCUGCUGCCUCCUCCUCAGUUUGAUUUCUUUACGGUGUAUUUUUUACAACUUGUUGGCGGCGCCAUAUCGGGACUUACACAACCAAGAAUCAAAGUGCUUUAGAGGUCUCAAGAUGCUCACCUGCCCCUGUGAAAUGCAGCGUGAAGUCCACUCUGUCUUACAUCUUGGAAAUACAGCCAACUGGAACAAGCAUCAGUAAUCUGCAAAAUCCUGAAGCCCAGACUGGAGAAAACCAACCCUGCCUUGUCAGCUUAGGACAUCCCAGCACAUCACCCCAAUAUGUCAUCUUGCCUAGAAGUGAUCGCGUUGCAAUUCCACUUCUGGAUGAGGGCCUAACGUGCAGUCUGGACAAACUGUUUGAACUGUAUUGGGUAUGCAACCUGGCCUAUCCUGUGCAACUUGCCUCAGUCUUUGGGUUCAUGCAGCAUGUUUAUGGCCUGCCGAUAACCUCUGGUGGGAAGAGGUCCAGAAUCAUGAAGCUUGCUGCAAAGCUCCAAGUACUGUGAGUGAAGUUGCCAUGUACAUUUGUCCAAAUGUGAGACAGAUCUGGACAAUUUUGACUGUACCACUGUGGACAAUGUGGACAUGUCUGUGUGUGAAAAUGUACUCCUCAUCAAACACUACACUGACUGACGUUCAAAAAAGUAUAACUUGCACCAAAGAGUUGCUUGUCAAAACACUGGACUGCUUAAAAGAAGAAAAAAUAUAUAUUUCUGUGCUUAAUAUGUACUGAAUUUGAAAGUAAAGAGGUGCUCAUGUUUCUCAGACUACUAACCGUUAAAUAUUUUGAAGAGCACCUCCACAGGUAAUAGAGAAGAAAGACAAAAUUUGAGAGAUGUUGCAGACAUUUUACUAAUUUAUUUAUUAACUUAUUUAUUUAAUAGUGAUUCUGAAAUCCACAUAAAUGAGAUAAAAAAAUGUCAUUGUAUGAUUAGUACCAUUACUAAUAAAAAAUGAUGGUACUGUA